Molecule: ribosomal RNA, 424 nt
Filed under: uncultured bacterium
Lineage: Bacteria
Description: bacterial SSU rRNA
Rfam family: Bacterial small subunit ribosomal RNA
Source: RNAcentral
AGGGAAUUUUGGGCAAUGGGGGAAACCCUGACCCAGCAACGCCGCGUGAGUGAUGAAGGCCCUCGGGUCGUAAAGCUCUGUCAGAGGGGAAGAACCACCAAUCGGUUAAUAUCCGGUUGGCCUGACGGUACCCUCAAAGGAAGCACCGGCUGACUCCGUGCCCGCAGCCGCGGUAAUACGGAGGGUGCAAGCGUUGUUCGGAAUUAUUGGGCGUAAAGCGCGUGUAGGCGGCUGUUUAAGUCUGAUGUGAAAGCCCUGGGCUCAACCCGGGAAGUGCAUUGGAAACUGGACAGCUUGAGUACGGGAGAGGGUAGUGGAAUUCCGAGUGUAGGGGUGAAAUCCGUAGAUAUUCGGAGGAACACCGGUGGCGAAGGCGGCUACCUGGACCGAUACUGACGCUGAGACGCGAAAGCGUGGGGAGCAA